UACGUAGGGUGCAAGCGUUGUCCGGAAUUAUUGGGCGUAAAGAGCUCGUAGGCGGUUCGUCGCGUCGGCUGUGAAAUCCCGAGGCUCAACCUCGGGUCUGCAGUCGAUACGGGCGGACUGGAGUUCGGCAGGGGAGACUGGAAUUCCUGGUGUAGCGGUGAAAUGCGCAGAUAUCAGGAGGAACACCGGUGGCGAAGGCGGGUCUCUGGGCCGAUACUGACGCUGAGGAGCGAAGGCGUGGGGAGCGAACAGG
RNAcentral lists this ribosomal RNA (253 nucleotides) under uncultured bacterium. RNAcentral describes it as "partial 16S ribosomal RNA". It matches the Rfam family "Bacterial small subunit ribosomal RNA", at positions 524 to 776 of the family's 1533-position model. The record is from RNAcentral.